This 249-nucleotide long non-coding RNA is filed under the name Anser brachyrhynchus (Pink-footed goose). Its description in RNAcentral is "lncRNA (ENSABRG00000013634.1)". Lineage: Eukaryota; Metazoa; Chordata; Aves; Anseriformes; Anatidae. The record is from RNAcentral.
CCUGUUCCCUUUUUUUUUUUUUUUUUUUUUCUCAUACCUACCAGAAAAGUCUCUUCCCCUCAGUGUUCAGUGUCUCUGCUGGGAAUUCCAAAGGAUGGCAGAAAUCAUUUCAUAAGGGAAACAACGUGGAGACUCGCUGCUCAAGAACAAGGAAAGAUGAUCACUUCUUAAACACAGCUGAAACAGAAAGACACUUUAAAAAACAGCUGUUGCCCAAAUACGGUAGUUCUGGCCGGGCGUCAAGGUGGG